GUGGGGAAUAUUGGACAAUGGGCGAAAGCCUGAUCCAGCCAUGCCGCGUGUGUGAAGAAGGUCUUCGGAUUGUAAAGCACUUUAAGUUGGGAGGAAGGGCAGUAAGUUAAUACCUUGCUGUUUUGACGUUACCGACAGAAUAAGCACCGGCUAACUUCGUGCCAGCAGCCGCGGUAAUACGAAGGGUGCAAGCGUUAAUCGGAAUUACUGGGCGUAAAGCGCGCGUAGGUGGUUUUGUACGUUGGAGGUGAAAUCCCCGGGCUCAACCUGGGAACUGCCUCCAAAACUGCAUGACUAGAGUACGGUAGAGGGUAGUGGAAUUUCCUGUGUAGCGGUGAAAUGCGUAGAUAUAGGAAGGAACACCAGUGGCGAAGGCGACUACCUGGACUGAUACUGACACUGAGGUGCGAAAGCGUGGGGAGCAAACAGGAUUAGAAACCCGGGUAGUCC
This 450-nucleotide ribosomal RNA is filed under the name uncultured bacterium. RNAcentral's name for it is "bacterial SSU rRNA". It matches the Rfam family "Bacterial small subunit ribosomal RNA", at positions 354 to 796 of the family's 1533-position model. The record is from RNAcentral.